GGUUUAAUUCGAUGAUACGCGAGGAACCUUACCAGGGCUCGAACGCACGACGACAGGGGCGGAAACGUCCUCUUCUUCGGACGGCGUGCGAGGUGCUGCAUGGCUGUCGUCAGCUCGUGCCGUGAGGUGUCGGGUUAAGUCCCAUAACGAGCGCAACCCCCAUCUCUAGUUGCCAGCGGGUAAUGCCGGGGACUCUAGAGAAACUGCCCGUGUAAACGGUGA
This 222-nucleotide ribosomal RNA is filed under the name uncultured bacterium. Its description in RNAcentral is "partial 16S ribosomal RNA". It matches the Rfam family "Bacterial small subunit ribosomal RNA", at positions 943 to 1167 of the family's 1533-position model. The record is from RNAcentral.